CCAGCAGCCGCGGUAAUUCCAGCUCCAAUAGCGUAUAUUAAAGUUGUUGCAGUUAAAAAGCUCGUAGUCGGACUUCUGGCCGUGUCGGACGGUCCGCCGCAAGGUGUGCACUGUUCGGGGCGGCCAUCCUCUUGAGGACCGCGUGUGCCCUUCACUGGGUGGGCGCGGGACUCAGGACCUUUACUUUGAAAAAAUUAGAGUGUUCAAAGCAGGCUUACGCUUGAAUACAUUAGCAUGGAAUAAUGGAAUAGGACUUUGGUUCUAUUUUGUUGGUUCUAGGACCGAAGUAAUGAUUAAUAGGGAUAGUUGGGGGCAUUCGUAUUUAAUUGUCAGAGGUGAAAUUCUUGGAUUUAUGAAAGACGAACAUCUGCGAAAGCAUUUGCCAAGGAUGUUUUCAUUGAUCAAGAACGAAAGU
This 415-nucleotide ribosomal RNA is filed under the name uncultured eukaryote. Its description in RNAcentral is "SSU rRNA". It matches the Rfam family "Eukaryotic small subunit ribosomal RNA", at positions 567 to 990 of the family's 1831-position model. The record is from RNAcentral.